Molecule: ribosomal RNA, 253 nt
Filed under: uncultured bacterium
Lineage: Bacteria
Description: partial 16S ribosomal RNA
Rfam family: Bacterial small subunit ribosomal RNA
Source: RNAcentral
UACGUAGGGGGCUAGCGUUGUCCGGAAUCAUUGGGCGUAAAGAGCGUGUAGGCGGCCCGGUAAGUCCGCUGUAAAAGUCAAAGGCUCAACCUUUGAAUGUCAGUGGAUACUGCCGGGCUAGAGUCCGGAAGAGGCGAGUGGAACUCCUGGUGUAGCGGUGGAAUGCGCAGAUAUCAGGAAGAACACCGAUGGCGAAGGCAGCUCGCUGGGACGGUACUGACGCUGAGGCGCGAAAGCGUGGGGAGCGAACAGG